UUAAGUGACUAAGCGUACACGGUGGAUGCCUUGGCAGUUGGAGGCGAUGAAGGACGUACUAACUUGCGAUAAGCCUAGUCAAGCCAGUAAGAGGCGCUUGAGACUAGGAUUUCCGAAUGGGGAAACCCACCUGCUUGCAGGUAUCGUUAACUGAAUACAUAGGUUAACGAGGCGAACGCGGAGAACUGAAACAUCUAAGUACCCGUAGGAAAAGAAAUCAACCGAGAUUCCGAAAGUAGCGGCGAGCGAAAUCGGACCAGCCCUUAAGCUUUAGUGUAGUUAGUGGAACAUGCUGGAAAGCAUGACGAAACAGGGUGAUAGUCCCGUACACAAAAACUUAUCUAAAGUGAAAUCGAGUAGGUCGGAGCACGUGAAACUUUGACUGAAUAUGGGGGGACCAUCCUCCAAGGCUAAAUACUCCCAACUGACCGAUAGUGAACCAGUACCGUGAGGGAAAGGCGAAAAGAACCCCUGUGAGGGGAGUGAAAUAGAACCUGAAACCGUGUACGUACAAGCAGUAGGAGCCUACUUGUUGGGUGACUGCGUACCUUUUGUAUAAUGGGUCAGCGACUUAUAUUCUGUAGCGAGGUUAACCAUUUAGGGGAGCCGUAGCGAAAGCGAGUCUUAACUGGGCGCUUAAGUUGCAGGGUAUAGACCCGAAACCCGGUGAUCUAGCCAUGGGCAGGUUGAAGGUUGAGUAACAUCAACUGGAGGACCGAACCCACUAACGUUGAAAAGUUAGGGGAUGACCUGUGGCUAGGAGUGAAAGGCUAAUCAAACCGGGAGAUAGCUGGUUCUCCCCGAAAUCUAUUUAGGUAGAGCCUCGGACGAAUACUUACGGGGGUAGAGCACUGUUAAGGCUAGGGGGUCAUCCCGACUUACCAACCCUUUGCAAACUCCGAAUACCGUAAAGUAAUAUCCGGGAGACACACGGCGGGUGCUAACGUCCGUCGUGGAGAGGGAAACAACCCAGACCGUCAGCUAAGGUCCCAAAGUGUAUGUUAAGUGGGAAACGAUGUGGGAAGGCUAAAACAGCUAGGAGGUUGGCUUAGAAGCAGCCACCCUUUAAAGAAAGCGUAAUAGCUCACUAGUCGAGUCGGCCUGCGCGGAAGAUGUAACGGGGCUAAACAUACCACCGAAGCUACGGCUGCGUACGUAAGUAUGCGGGGUAGGGGAGCGUUCUGUAAGUGGCUGAAGGUGUGCCGGGAGGCAUGCUGGACAUAUCAGAAGUGCGAAUGCUGACAUGAGUAACGACAAGAGGAGUGAAAAACUCCUCCGCCGGAAGACCAAGGGUUCCUAUCCCAUGUUAAUCAGGGUAGGGUGAGUCGACCCCUAAGGCGAGGCUGAAGAGCGUAGUCGAUGGGAAACGGGUUAAUAUUCCCGUACUCGGUAUGAAUGCGAUGGGGGGACGGAGCAGGCUAGGCAAGCAUGGCGUUGGUUGUCCAUGUGAAAGGCUGUAGGCUGGUGACUUAGGAAAAUCCGGGUUGCUAAGGUUGAGAGUCGAGACGAGCCACUAAGGUGGUGAAGUUGUUGAUGCCCUACUUCCAGGAAAAGCCUCUAAGCUUCAGUUCAUACUGAAUCGUACCCUAAACCGACACAGGUGGUCAGGUAGAGAAUACUAAGGCGCUUGAGAGAACUCGGGUGAAGGAACUAGGCAAAAUUGUACCGUAACUUCGGGAGAAGGUACGCUCUUGUUUGUGAAGGACUUGCUCUGUAAGCAAACGAGAGCCGCAGUGACCAGGUGGCUGGGACUGUUUAUUAAAAACACAGCACUGUGCAAAAUCGUAAGAUGACGUAUACGGUGUGACACCUGCCCGGUGCCGGAAGGUUAAUUGAUGGGGUUAGCUUAGGCGAAGCUCUUGAUCGAAGCCCCGGUAAACGGCGGCCGUAACUAUAACGGUCCUAAGGUAGCGAAAUUCCUUGUCGGGUAAGUUCCGACCUGCACGAAUGGUGUAACCAUGGCCACGCUGUCUCCACCCGAGACUCAGUGAAAUUGAAAUCGCAGUGAAGAUGCUGUGUACCCGCGGCUAGACGGAAAGACCCCGUGAACCUUUACUACAGCUUGGCACUGAACAUUGACCCUACAUGUGUAGGAUAGGUGGGAGGCUUUGAAGCAGAGACGCUAGUUUCUGUGGAGCCGACCUUGAAAUACCACCCUUGUAGUGUUGAUGUUCUAACUUAGGCCCCUGAAUCGGGGUUGAGGACAGUGCCUGGUGGGUAGUUUGACUGGGGCGGUCUCCUCCCAAAGAGUAACGGAGGAGCACGAAGGUUUGCUAAGUACGGUCGGACAUCGUACGGUUAGUGUAAUGGUAGAAGCAAGCUUAACUGCGAGACAGACACGUCGAGCAGGUACGAAAGUAGGUCAUAGUGAUCCGGUGGUUCUGAAUGGAAGGGCCAUCGCUCAACGGAUAAAAGGUACUCCGGGGAUAACAGGCUGAUACCGCCCAAGAGUUCAUAUCGACGGCGGUGUUUGGCACCUCGAUGUCGGCUCAUCACAUCCUGGGGCUGAAGUCGGUCCCAAGGGUAUGGCUGUUCGCCAUUUAAAGUGGUACGCGAGCUGGGUUUAGAACGUCGUGAGACAGUUCGGUCCCUAUCUGCCGUGGGCGUUUGAGAAUUGAGAGGGGCUGCUCCUAGUACGAGAGGACCGGAGUGGACGAACCGCUGGUGUUCGGGUUGUGAUGCCAAUUGCAUUGCCCGGUAGCUACGUUCGGAACUGAUAACCGCUGAAAGCAUCUAAGCGGGAAGCAGGCAUCGAGAUGAGUUCUCACUUUGACUUAGAGUCAACUGAAGGGCCGUUGAAGACUACAACGUUGAUAGGCGAGAUGUGGAAGUGCUGUGAGGCAUUAAGCUAACUCGUACUAAUUACCCGUGAGGCUUAACCAU
Molecule: ribosomal RNA, 2883 nt
Filed under: Pseudoalteromonas piscicida
Lineage: Bacteria; Pseudomonadati; Pseudomonadota; Gammaproteobacteria; Alteromonadales; Pseudoalteromonadaceae
Description: bacterial LSU rRNA
Rfam family: Bacterial large subunit ribosomal RNA
Source: RNAcentral